AGAAAAUCCGUCUUCGCCUCAUGCUCAGUUUGUGAAUCGUCAGUUUUGGGGUUGUUUCAAAUUGUUGAAAAACGUUUUGAAGUGGCAAGAAAGCUUGGUGAUAAAGUGCUUGCAGAUCUAGCCGUGAGUAGUCUGCUCAACAAAUACCUCCUCAUUGGCCUAGGCAUGAACCCUGAUCCUCUUGAUGCCUUGGUCAAAACCAGACAAAUUGUGUCUGCUUUACCCAGUUCUUGGCGAGAAAUCGGCGUUGCGAAAGAGGAUUUGGGUAGGUUUGCCCAAUUUCUAGCAACUCUUUCCGCCAAACCCGUGGGUCCUGACGGAGUGCGAUCGAUCGUGGAGAUGUUAAAACUAUUGAACUAUCAAACCGAAAGUGAUACUAUCAGAAGAACAAGAUUAGCAUGAUUGUAACGGAGGUCAAUAAUGAUAAGUUUCUAAACUUUUUCACGAGUAAA
This is a long non-coding RNA of Tigriopus californicus, 452 nucleotides long. RefSeq lists it as uncharacterized. The record is from RefSeq and is a predicted model, not a curated record. NCBI's taxonomy places the organism in Eukaryota, Metazoa, Arthropoda, Copepoda, Harpacticoida, Harpacticidae. The transcript is spliced from 2 exons.